AGAAAGGAGAAGUAACUCCCUCUAGAACUUACGGGAAAAAAAUCACUCCAUCUCUCCAUCUCUUCCCCUCUUUCUCUCUUCUUCUUCAAGGUAAAUCCCCAAUUGAAACUUAACAACCAUUGCACUCUCAUUCUCGGCGUUAGUUCGAAAAUGGCCCGUCGCCGUCUCUCGAUUCUGCGAUUCAGCGCCGUCGCCCUCUCUCUUCUCUCUCGAAUCUGUCGCCGCCCCUCCGCCAAAUUUCCGCUCUCGGCGAGCAUCACUGAUUAUACACAAAAGUUUUGAUUAUACCCAAAUCUCUGCGCUCAAUUCUCUCCCUCUCGGUUUUACAGAGUGAUUUCUAUCCUUUGGAUUUCUGUUUGAAGAAGAGGAGUUAAGAGCUGGCGUAGGGCGUUUGGGAUUGAAGCUGUACGGUGAGCUCACGGCUGAAUUCCUUAUCGUUGAAUUGGGUGAUUUUCAAUCAGUGGCGUCAGUGGUGUUAUUCAUUAAGGGGUUACAACUUACAAUUUAGGGAUCUGUUGGAGUAUGAAGGAUUUUUAGGGGUUCGAGUAAGCUUUGGGUAUAACAGAGGCACAGUAGGAGGUCGUGUGGCAGGGAACGAAAGGUCAUUUCUACCAUCAGCCCCAUUUCAAAUGAGUCAAAUGGACAUGGAAUACGAAAUACAUAAUCUGGAACAGAUUGCAUACGAUGUUGUUUUACGAGCUUUCAAGGCACAAUCUGAUGCACUCACAUGGGAGAAAGAGGGUCUUAUAACAGAAUUGAGGAAGGAACUCAGGGUGUCAGAUGAUGAGCAUCGAGAACUACUUAGUCAGGUCAAUGGUGAUGACCUCAUUCGCAGGAUCAGAGAGUGGAGGGAGGCAGGUGGUAACCGAAAUAUAGCCCCCAGUGCCCAGCAUAUAAACAACGAGUUACCAAGUCCUACAAUUUCAGCUUCUCGUAAUAUGUUGGGCACUUUUGGAAUAGAUUAGCACUUUAUAAUUUUUAGUACUAGUAUUGUUUGUGUAGUUUAAGUCAAAGAUGACCAACACUUAAUAUUGUUUAGUUUGUGUGUUCAAACACGUUACAUUUUUGUGUAAAAUCAUUUGAUGGUUUGAAUAUUAUUCAAAUAGUUGUCAUUUUA
This is an RNA transcript of Salvia splendens (bonfire salvia), 1117 nucleotides long. It is a transcript of the gene named protein EMSY-LIKE 3, with no coding region annotated. The transcript has 5 exons. NCBI's taxonomy places the organism in Eukaryota, Viridiplantae, Streptophyta, Magnoliopsida, Lamiales, Lamiaceae. The record is from RefSeq and is a predicted model, not a curated record.